CAGGAAACCGUGUGCUUGAUCAUUUUGAAUGUAAUCCAGACUCAUGUGGACCUCUUGCUGAGUGUACGGUUACAGGCUGUAGUUGUGUUGCUGGAUAUGAAAUGCAGCAGGAUCAGUUACCAACAGCAGAUUCAUAUCCUUGUGUUGAUAUAGAUGAAUGUCAGAUAACUCCUGGAGUUUGUGUCCCUAACUCCAAAUGUAUAAACACCAUCGGAUCAUUUUUCUGCAAAUGCCUG
Molecule: long non-coding RNA, 236 nt
Organism: Austrofundulus limnaeus
Lineage: Eukaryota; Metazoa; Chordata; Actinopteri; Cyprinodontiformes; Rivulidae
Exons: 3
Source: RefSeq, a predicted model, not a curated record